ACACAGAGCUGAAGAAGCUUCUCAUGUCAUAGCUACACAAAAGGCAUUACUAUUUUACUUCUUGUUUUGCAGUCUCAGAACAUGUAAUGGAGUAGAAAGAAGAAA
Molecule: long non-coding RNA, 105 nt
Organism: Ipomoea triloba (trilobed morning glory)
Lineage: Eukaryota; Viridiplantae; Streptophyta; Magnoliopsida; Solanales; Convolvulaceae
Exons: 2
Source: RefSeq, a predicted model, not a curated record